Quercus robur (English oak) is the source of this 4558-nucleotide long non-coding RNA. RefSeq lists it as uncharacterized. The record is from RefSeq and is a predicted model, not a curated record. The transcript is spliced from 6 exons. NCBI's taxonomy places the organism in Eukaryota, Viridiplantae, Streptophyta, Magnoliopsida, Fagales, Fagaceae.
AACUGCUGAAGACAAAAAAGAAAGAUUGCUACACGGAUAAAAAAACGGAGAAAGAGAGACUGAGAGACCGAGAGAAAAGAGAGACAGAGAAAUAGAGAAGCAGAGAACGGAGGAGAGAGAGAUCGAGAGAUCAAAAACUGCACUCUCUAAAAACUGAAACCCAAAACACACAAUCAUCCAUUCUUUCCAUUUGUUAACACAAACGGCCCAAAAGAAAAGAUUUUCCCUACCGAUGAAAAAGAAAAAACAGAAGCCCAUUGAAAGAUUGCUUCACGGAGAAAGGAGAGAGCGAUCGAGAGAAAAGAGAGACAGAGAAAUAGAGAGGCAGAGAUAGAGAGAAGGGUGCCAACAAAUCUUCUGCCAUCAUUGUAAGGGCGCCUACCUUGCGAUACAGAGAUGAGAAGGAGACAGAUAUUGAGAGAACUACCACCGUUGCAGAAUACCGUUUCCCUGUGCCGGAUAAAGACAUUGGGACUUCUGCAAUAAAAGAAUUAAAAGGUGGAGUUGUCCAAAUCUCUAGGUAAUUGGCAGUGAUCUUGAGUCCCUAACAUUAGUCAGGUAAAAUGUGUAGGGACAUAACUAGAAGUCUAGGGUAGUGUGUUUGAUACAUGUGCAGAGGCAUAUGUGUUCAUGACUUUUGCUGGAUGUUAAAAGAAGCUACAUGAUUUCCUAUGUAGAUACAAGUAGCUUUCCAUCUUGGGCUUAACAUUUGGAAAGUCCAAAAUUAACUUUGUUAUGCAUGAUGGAUAUAUUCCGGUCCAUGUCCUGAAAUUAGUGCUUAUAAUGACACACACAUUUUCUAAUACAAAUAGAUCAACCACCAACAUUUCCCCUAUACUUCUCUCUAAUUGCAGAUGGCAAUUAAUAAGAGUAAAUUUAUAAUUGGUGGUUCAGCGAAAUCCCACAAAUCAAAUGAAUGAGUUAUCAUACUUCAGAUCUUCUUAAAGUGGCUUUCUUGGAUAGAAUACCUUUAUGGACCUAAUAUACAUAGUCAGUAAUCUCCAGACCAAGAACAAUCAAUUCCCAGAGUUGCAGAACUCUAUAAUCACUAUGAAUGGCAAUAGAGUAAAAACUAAUAUUACACAAUCAUAUAUAACUAUACGCACCAUAACUGCCACACAAAAAAAAAAAAAAAAAAAAAAAAAACCUAAGUGUCAAGCUUCUAUUAUGUAUAGCUUCUAUUAUGUAUGGCUACAGUAGGUGAGGUUAAGUAGUGUAUUAACAGUUGCUCAUAAUUUUGCAAGAAGUGUAACCCAACAGUUGCCUCCUUUAACUAAAGAAAUUUCACCUCUUGGCCAAAUUUCUGGAGCUCUUUGACAUAAGAAAAAAACAAAUUCCUUUUGUUUUAUGCCUUUUAUCUAUUUUUUACUGCCUCUUCUCUUCCCUUCUCAAAAUUUUCAUCUGCCAAGCUCUUAUAUAACUAGAACAGAAAAUUAUCAAUCUUUGAACUUUUUUUUUUAAUUAUUUAAUAUCACCUUGGUUGGAUAAUGGUCCUCAAAGACUUGAAGAAAUUUCCAAUAAUCACAUUUUCGGCACCUAUCUCACUUCAGUCAAUUGUGCAUCAAGUGUUUCUCAAGAUGGAAGGUUGGCAUGCCUAUCCAUUGAAGGUUAUCAAGGUUAGUAUUUUAUCCUCUUAAGUUUUGUCAAGCAGCCUAAAAAAUUAGGAUUAUUAGCAUAUAACAUUCUUUGAAUAUGUUUGAAAAAAUUACUACCAAAUUUUGUCACUACCAUUACUUUUCUUGACUAAUAUGAAUUUUUUUAUGAAUUGAUUUGUCCUCCAACAUGAAUCAUGAUUGCAAUAAAGUUGAUUUAUGAAUGAAAAUUCAUAGUCUCCUUUUUAAAAUUUUCUUUCAGGCUUUACUAUGGCGUUUGAUUACUACAAAGGCAAUGCUUCAAUAAUUGAUGAUGUAUUUCCAACACUUGGAUUAAAAAUUCAUGGUGACAAAAAUGUCCCUUAUGUGGGACAUUUUUAGGGUAUUAGUUCUUGGCAGGAAUUCAAUGAAUUCUAGAGAAAUACAUAAUGAGAGUUCCAAGUAGAAGACUUGGUCUUGGUGCCAAAGAAUAUAUUUCUCAGUGUGUUUGGCCAAAGAAAAUGUAUAUUAGAAGCUUCAAGGAUGAUGAGAACUCAUUAUAAAUGAAUUAUUACACUUUUGUUAAGAAGUUGAACAAUGGUGAGACAUCACCCUUUCAUUCUCUUUAUAAAGAUGUUUGUGGUUAAGCAAAAAUAUCUUCCUUCUAAACUCUAUUCCAUAGUGAUACAAUGAUUGGAAAAUUAUGCGCUGGGCAUAAUUUUUGGUGGUUUGCAUACAAGACUUUACUACUCUUAGGAGCACUAUUGGGCAUAUUUGUUAAAACAUCAAUACCAUGUAGCUCCUUGACAAUUAGUAUCUUUGUUGUAGCUAGCUGAUAAUAUUCAAUAAUUACAUUGAGGAAUGUACUUCAUAAUGAUUUGGAAAUUUAAGGAUGAUUUUUUUGCCUCAUGUUGAUGAAAUAUUUAGUUUUGGUAUCUAUUUCUCAAACCAUUUAUUGCUAUAUAGGAGUUAGGUUUCUUCUAGGAAAAAAAAAGAGGAUUUAGUUUAGUACUCACAAACCAAUCCAAUUACAUGCUCGCUCUCUUUCAAAGGAUGUGAAAUUAAUAAUUGUGCAUAUAACUUAACAAAAAUAAUUAAAUAAUCGUGAAUUCACCUAUGCAACACAUACAUAUCAUUAAGUAAAUAUAUGAUAAGUGAACCUAAUUAAGUAAAUGUUUUACCACGUGUCAUAAAAAUUAGAUAAACUCAUAAUAUUCAAACUUAGUUAUCAUAAACUUAGUUACUUAUUCUAAUUAUGAAUUAUUGUUUGUCGAAGUUACUUAUAUAAGCUUCUACCCAAAAAAAAAAAAAAAAAAAACCUAUUAUUUUUCUUGAAUAAUAAAUUCUUGGAGUAAAAAGACACUUUCUUUUUACUUGAGUGUUGUGGUAAAGGAAUAUUAUAUUUUUUUCCUAAGAGAUCUAUUUAAAAUUUUGUUGAAACGGGCACAAAUUUCAAGAUUAGAUUUUGAAAUCUCUAUAAAAAAAACUCCUUGAAUUUAGUUUUUUAUUUUUCUUGCAAGUAAUUAUUUGCCUUUUUUGUAUUAUCUUAAUAUAAAAUGUUUAAAUUUUCAGUAACCAUAUGUCUUUUUUAAUAAAUAAAAGUAUCCCGCACAUUGUGCGGGUUAUAUGCUAGUAUAUAUAAUAGCAGAAAUGGAGAGAAAGUGAGUUCCUACAUUACAUUUAAGGAGAGGGUGACAAAUAGGAAAAAAGACUCCUUUAAAAACUGACACAUACACAACUUUAAGUUAAAAUACUCGCACGGUACACCGUUUCAGUAUUCUAAAGAUUUUGACUUUUACUUCUACGGCCUUUGAAAGCCUCUCCGCUGUUUCCAUUUGUUUUGCAAGGGUAAGACCGUCUGACAGUGAUAGUGUAUAUUUUAAAAUAAAAAAGGGGUUAAAAAUAAGAUUAAAAAAAACGUCACAACUAAAAAAAUCUAGCCCCUUCACAUCAGUCUUCUUAACAUUUUCUCUCUCUAAAAAAACCCUGGCGAUACUGUGAUAGAGAGAAAGAGUAGGAGAAAAAAAAAAAAAAAAAAAGAGAGAGAGAGAAAUAGAGAGGCAGAGAACGGAGAAGGAGAGAGAGAUCGAGAGAUCAAAAACUGCAGUUUGCAAACAAGAAUGGAAAGAUGUCUCUCACUUCCUGUCAAAUUUCUUCAUCUAACUGUCCGCUAAUUUCUUUCCCUGGAAUAAGAAGAAGUAAGGAAGAUGAAGCGUCAAGAACGAAGAGGAGUCAAGAAUGAAAUAGAGGGGCAGAGAUGGAGAGAAGGGCGCCACCCAGAUCUUCGGCCAUCACCGUAAGCCUCCACUCACUACCCGACUAUCGGAAUCGGAAUCACUACUGAUUCGGUUUUGAUUAAGGGAUACGGACAUAGAAGAAGCAAGCAGAGUUUGUAGGCGCCAAGAGAGAAGAAAUAUCUAUGGCUGGCCAUUGCCUGUUCCCUCGCUAGACUUGGGCCAUCGGAACCGCAAGCACACAUGAAGGAAAAACUAUGACCAUACUCCACCCAGAUCGUCGGAAUUGGCACCGGUCUUUCUGCCGGAACAUCAUACACCCAGAUAGAAUCCGUAAGGCACAGAGAGACAGGCCGCCGUAUACCUAUAACCGGUGGUGUGUACAUGGGAAAAAGGGAUUUUGACUCUGAUAUAGAAUGCUUCAGAUUUUUUCUAAAUCUGGUGUUAUUAAUGGCAAGGCACUGUUGACAGGCUUGAUUGUUCUGUUUCUAAACAUAAUAAUAGCUGUUUGUUCAGGAGGCAUUCUAUACUGUUGGUAUUGGAGUUUGGAUAAGGAAUGCAACUGAUGUCUAUUUUUCUUAAAUGGCACUCUGUUUUUGUUAGAGAGGUUCUGAGGGUCCCAUGGUCUAGAUUUUUGAUGAUUAUGUGGAAAUACGAUAUUGUUUUCUCUACAAGAUUCCAGAAAUUAUCAUGUAGCUUUUUAUUUCUGCUGUUGCACUUGAUGUGAUUAAUCAGUGCUUACCUUUGGAAUCC